This 424-nucleotide long non-coding RNA is filed under the name Bos indicus x Bos taurus (hybrid cattle). Its description in RNAcentral is "lncRNA (ENSBIXG00005030580.1)". The record is from RNAcentral. Lineage: Eukaryota; Metazoa; Chordata; Mammalia; Artiodactyla; Bovidae.
CAAUACUCCAAUUGAUAUUUAAUGUCAUAAACGAGCCAUUACUCUGCUAGGAUAUUUGGUUUGUUUUCUAACUUCUCAAUGAGCAGUAAGUUGAUAACUUCUAAGGAAAAAUAAUUCACCUGAAAAGAAAGAAAUCUCCAAUAGAGGGAUCCCUGGUCCUAGAGCACGGCAUGAAAAAGGAAACAGAAGGAGAAAAAAGCAACCUUACACUGUAGCGGGAAAGAGAGUUUCGCUCAACAAACAGAAGCCCUUGACUUCAGAGGUGAAUAAUCCCAGAAACAAGCUACCAAGAGCGGUGGUCCUGGUCACUGGACUUGGCAGGCAAACCAACUGAAUGGAAAUUCUGAAGACCACAGUAGGAGUUUUCUCUUUGUGGGUUUUGGAUGGUAAAAUCUUCAAUCUGUUCCACAGGCAGAAAUCAGAG